UUUGAACUACAGUACUCUUCA
This 21-nucleotide microRNA is filed under the name Caenorhabditis elegans. Its description in RNAcentral is "cel-miR-5594-3p". Lineage: Eukaryota; Metazoa; Nematoda; Chromadorea; Rhabditida; Rhabditidae. The record is from miRBase by way of RNAcentral.